GAGACACGGUCUCCCUAUGUUGCCUAGGCUAGUGUCUUAUUUCUGGGCUCAAGCGAUCCUCCCGCCUCAGCCUCCCAGAGAGUUGGUAUUAUAGGCAUGAGCCACUGUGCUGGCUUGCACCUAGAUUCUUAAAGAGAACAUUACUAGAACAUUACCGGAAGCCCCUUGUGCACUGUCCCCUGUGGGCCACUUCUCCCACCCCAUUCCUGUCUUUUAAUACUAGAGAUCAGUUGUGCUUGUUUUUGAAAUUUAUGUGAGUGGAGUAUACUAUGUAUACAGUACACAGUAAAUACUGUAUGUACCACUGCCUAUAUACAGUAUACUCCACAGUGAGUGAAACAAGCCAGACUCAGAAGCAUACAUACUGUAUGUACCACUUUGCUUAGUAGCCACAGUGUAUGCACCAUGGUACAUGCAUAUACUUCUGAAUCUGGCUUGUUUCACUCAUGGUUAGGUGUGCAGGAUUCAUCCAUGUUGUUGUGUGCAGUUCUUGCUUAUUUUACCAGUCUGUCUUAUCCUGAGAAUAUCUUUGACAUUCAACUCUGCAUGCAGACCCUUCCUUACACGUUCUAGAGAGAGGACCUGUCUUCACCCUGUGUUUAUUACCCACAUACUUGAACAGCUGUUUCCUCCAGGCAUCAUUAUGCAAAAGGAAUGAAACCCGGUGUGUGCAGCUUUUUUAGAGGACGUAAAAGGAGUCAGCUCUUGCCUCUCAUCAAUAGUAUUGUUUAUCAGUCAUUUCUCUUUUGAGGCAUUGGUUGAAUAAAUGGGAAAAUUCCUGCUUUCAAGGAACUUAGCAGACUUGUUGACAGAUAAGACCAUAAGAAGAAAGCCAGUGAAGUACCCAGUGAUGUGAACGCCAUGGUAUGAGCAAGUACAUAAUAGAGACCACAAGUGCUUUUUAGAAGUUAGAGAUAGUCAUUCUCUGGGGCUUCCUCAGGAAAAUCCUCGCUGAAUCUGGGAUCUAAACUGGGCCUUAUGAUUCUUGGAUAUAAGGUUUGUUGUAUAGGUUGAUACAAGUUACUUAUUAAUAGUUGUUUGCCCCCCUCCCUUUCACUAUCUUUAGGUGAUGAUGUCCACACCUUUCCACAUCUCCUCAGGAGCUGGUGAUUCCCAGAUACUAUUUGUUAACCUGCAUCACCACUCCCAUGCACACGAACACAGGACAAACAAAUCCAGCUGCUUCCUGGCAUCUCUACUUGAACAACUUAAAGGCAAUUCAGAUCCCACAGGGUGAAAAGCUGAAUUCAUCUAUCAGAGUGUUUUCUAAAAUCCCAAGUAGAUUAUGUCCCAUUCCUGCUUAAAAUGAUCUCCUGAUUCUCAUUGCCUUUUGGAUAAAAUCCAAUCCUGAGUAUCAACAAGGGGCUUGUGAUUUGGUCCUUUUCUGUGUCAUUCUUUAGAAUUUCUGGAAGCAGCCUAUCAUCGCUCCGUCUGCCCUCCAUACACAGCGUUUGUGUGUGUUAUGCCAAACUGCUUGGUGUUUUCCAACCGUGGACCAUGAUAUCUCACUUCCUUAACCUUACCUUCAUAUGCUUUUCCUUUGUGUCUUCUUCUGAAAUGCUUCUUCCUUUUGUCCAGGCUGACUCCUGUUUGUCUGAGACUUGUGUCUCAGGAAGCCUUUCCGUUCCCCUCCAGUCAUUCAUACCUCUGUCAUAACACAUAGACUGUAUUUUUAAUUUGAUUUCCAAUCUGUCUCUUUUAGGUUGUCACCUUUUUUGAGGGCAAGACCUUUUUGUUUCAUGGCUUUAGUUUGCUGUGUUUGUUACAGUGCCUGGCAUUUGGUAGGGGUUGAGUAAAUGUAUACAGAAUAAAUGAAGCCUGGGAGAAGGAGUUCCAGUUAAGAGUUCUAAUAAAUAACUGUUUUUUCAAAAUCUUGGGGCUUUCAUCUUGUGUGUUGAAUGUUACUGGAUUAGGGGAAAGUUGUCUUUAUGAAGUGGGCCCUUUAAACUAGUAUUCCUGUUUUUCUGUUAUAGUUCCCUACUCCCCGCCCCACACCCCCUCUAAAAAAAAAGUACUAGAAGUUACACACAGAACUGUAGCCUUGGAGGCUGUAGGCAGUGCAUUUAAAGUACUUCUGGAGUGGUUUUGAGCUUCAGAGCAUUGACACACUUCCCUAAAUAACUGUGACAAUUCUUUCUAUUUGCUGUUGCCCAUCGGUGAUUUCAGUGGCCAGUAGUCAUACUGGAAAGUCUGAUAAUAAAGCAGGGGAUCAGUCAUGUGGUACCAAACCAGUUGUGGGGAAUGUUAGAUGUGUUAAGAUGUGAUUAGCAACGACAUUCCUGUUUGUAAACUGGCAUCUAUGGCGGUUUAAAAAUGGUGGCAAAACCAUUUUGAGUAUUGUUGGAAAUGUUAUCUGUUCUGCCGUGUUAAUAUACCUAUAAGUUGGUAGUUGCAUCUUGUACCCUUGAUAGUCAUACUUUGUACAUUGUGUAUGCCACUCUUCUGUUGAGUAAUUUGGAUUAAUUACUUUGGAGAUUGAAGUCUUGACUCAUUCACUUCACUCAUUUAUUUAGCUGUAUUUUCAGUUCCAUGCAAUGAGUGACACAGACUGUGCUGCCAAAAAGGAAUUCUCAGUAAGGGCAAUGCACAUAAAUUACUGUGUUACUCAGAAAUCAUGAAUAGUUGAGAUCACAAGCGGAGAGAUGGAACCAGGUCUUAUAAUCAGUAAACCAAUAUUCCAGUAAAAAGCCUGCAAAGAAUGCAAAUAAGUAAUAAAAUAACUACAAAUUAAGUCAGUAAAUAUGAGAAAUGUAUAGCCUACCCAUUACUCAAAGGAAUACAAAUGUAUGUGUGGAUGAGUCAGUAUCACUUUUAUAGUUGGAAGAAAGCAGUUUUCCUAAUAGGAAAUUUUUAGAAUUAAUCUGGUUUGGAAUAUUUAAGUGACAAUGUGUUUUUACAUUAAGGGAUUAAAAUUUUUAUCAGGCACACUACUAACUUAGUAUUAAAACAGCUGUUAAGAUUGGAAAGUAUCUGAAUGUAUUCUUUAAAAUAUAUUGUAUUUGUAAAUUUAAAAUUGUUUCGUACUCUUCAUAUAUAAGACAUUUUGUGUGAUGUUCUAAAUCAGUGCUAUCCAAAAGAAAUAUAUUGUAAGCCACAUGUAAUUUUAACUUUCUAGUAGUCACAGGAAGAAAGUAAAUUAAGCAGGUGAAAUUAAUUUUAAGAAUAUGUUUUAUCGAACCAAUUAUAUCCAGAAUGUUUUUUUUAACAUGUAACCAGUAUUACAGUGAGAUAGUUUACAUUCUUUUUUUCAAAGACAGUCUUCAAAAUCUAGUGUACAUUUUAGGGUUACAGCAAAGUUUAGUUCAGACUAACCACAUUUCAAGUGCUCAGUAGCCACCUUUGGCUAGUGGGUACCAUAUUGAAGAAGAGGAUGAGUAGUUGGGAGUGAGGGCUUUGAUGUCAGACCCAAGUUUGAGUAACAGCAGCUCUGCCAUUUGCUCACCUUGUGACCUUGGGUAUGUUACAUGAACUUGUGCUUUUGUUUUUCAUUUAUAAGCGGGCAGUAUGUAUGAGUGUGGGUUGGUGAUUUUAAGUUACCAUCUGUAUCACAUCCCUAGCGCUUCCUUUCCCUUUGUAAGAUUUCCUUUGUUUUUAGAAUCCUCUCAUAUUGGUUAUUCGACGGUCUUUGUAGAUAAUUAUGGAGUACCUGGAGCAUUUUGGCUGAAGUGGAAUGCUUUACAUGUCUUUAUCCUUUUUGAAGCUUAUCUGAUUGGUUGUACAUUCCCAUGCAUUAGAAACAGAUCAUCUAGUAAUAUGGAACAUCCAGUCAGCUUAUCUUGCAGAGUUCAGGAAGUACAUGUAUCUUCCGGAAGUAUCUUCUGGCGUUCAAGAGGAAUUUUCUAAUGGAAAACCAAAAUGUUGUAAUUUUGAGAAAUCUUUUUUAAAGUUAAAUUGAUUGAG
RNAcentral lists this long non-coding RNA (3900 nucleotides) under Homo sapiens (human). RNAcentral describes it as "HSALNT0312473". The record is from RNAcentral. Lineage: Eukaryota; Metazoa; Chordata; Mammalia; Primates; Hominidae.